GAUGAACGCUGGCGGCGUGCCUAAUACAUGCAAGUCGAGCGAACAGACGAGGAGCUUGCUCCUCUGACGUUAGCGGCGGACGGGUGAGUAACACGUGGAUAACCUACCUAUAAGACUGGGAUAACUUCGGGAAACCGGAGCUAAUACCGGAUAAUAUAUUGAACCGCAUGGUUCAAUAGUGAAAGACGGUUUUGCUGUCACUUAUCGAUGGAUCCGCGCCGCAUUAGCUAGUUGGUAAGGUAACGGCUUACCAAGGCAACGAUGCGUAGCCGACCUGAGAGGGUGAUCGGCCACACUGGAACUGAGACACGGUCCAGACUCCUACGGGAGGCAGCAGUAGGGAAUCUUCCGCAAAGGGCGAAAGCCUGACGGAGCAACGCCGCGUGAGUGAUGAAGGUCUUCGGAUCGUAAAACUCUGCUAUUAGGGAAGAACAAAUGUGUAAGUAACUAUGCACGUCUUGACGGUACCUAAUCAGAAAGCCACGGCUAACUACGUG
RNAcentral lists this ribosomal RNA (497 nucleotides) under uncultured bacterium. Its description in RNAcentral is "partial 16S ribosomal RNA". It matches the Rfam family "Bacterial small subunit ribosomal RNA", at positions 28 to 507 of the family's 1533-position model. The record is from RNAcentral.